RNAcentral lists this ribosomal RNA (466 nucleotides) under uncultured bacterium. RNAcentral describes it as "bacterial SSU rRNA". It matches the Rfam family "Bacterial small subunit ribosomal RNA", at positions 29 to 506 of the family's 1533-position model. The record is from RNAcentral.
ACGAACGCUAGCGGCGUGCCUAAGAAAUGCAAGUCGAGCGAGGUUAGAGAGCUUGCUCUCGAAGCCUAGCGGCGAACGGUCGCGUAACACGUAAGCAACCUGCCCUGAAGUUGGGGAUAGCCCUCCGAAAGGGGGAUUAAUACCGAAUGUGGACCCCGAGCGACAUCGCUUGGUGUCUAAAGUGGUAACACGCUUCAGGAUGGGCUUGCGGCCUAUCAGCUAGUUGGUGGGGUAACGGCCUACCAAGGCGACGACGGGUAGCUGGUCUGAGAGGAUGGUCAGCCGGACUGGGACUGAGAUACGGCCCAGACUCCUACGGGGGGCAGCAAUUAGGAAUCUUGCGCAAUGGGCGAAAGCCUGACGCAGCGACGCCGCGUGACUGAUGAAGUUCUUCGGAAUGUAAAGGUCUUUUCUGAGGGAAGAAGAAUGUGACGGUACCUCAGGAAUAAGCUCCGGCUAACUACGU